GUCCACGCCCUAAACGAUGAAUGCCAGUCGUCGGCAAGCAUGCUUGUCGGUGACACACCUAACGGAUUAAGCAUUCCGCCUGGGGAGUACGGUCGCAAGAUUAAAACUCAAAGGAAUUGACGGGGCCCGCACAAGCGGUGGAGCAUGUGGUUUAAUUCGAAGCAACGCGCAGAACCUUACCAACCCUUGACAUGUGUAUCGCGGUUCCAGAGAUGGUUCCUUCAGUUCGGCUGGAUACAACGCAGGUGCUGCAUGGCUGUCGU
RNAcentral lists this ribosomal RNA (263 nucleotides) under uncultured bacterium. RNAcentral's name for it is "partial 16S ribosomal RNA". It matches the Rfam family "Bacterial small subunit ribosomal RNA", at positions 793 to 1055 of the family's 1533-position model. The record is from RNAcentral.